AUUGAACGCUGGCGGCAUGCCUUACACAUGCAAGUCGAGCGAUGAAGCUCCUUCGGGAGUGGAUUAGCGGCGGACGGGUGAGUAACACGUGGGCAACCUGCCUUAUAGAGAGGAAUAGCCAUCCGAAAGGAUGAUUAAUACCUCAUAAUAUUGUAGCUUCGCAUGGAGCAACAAUCAAAGGAGCAAUCCACUAUAAGAUGGGCCCGCGGCGCAUUAGCUAGUUGGUGAGGUAACGGCUCACCAAGGCGACGAUGCGUAGCCGACCUGAGAGGGUGAUCGGCCACAUUGGGACUGAGACACGGCCCAGACUCCUACGGGAGGCAGCAGUGGGGAAUAUUGCACAAUGGGGGAAACCCUGAUGCAGCAACGCCGCGUGAGUGAUGACGGCCUUCGGGUUGUAAAGCUCUGUCUUCAGGGACGAUAAUGACGGUACCUGAGGAGGAAGCCACGGCUAACUACGUGCCAGCAGCCGCCGUAA
RNAcentral lists this ribosomal RNA (478 nucleotides) under uncultured bacterium. Its description in RNAcentral is "partial 16S ribosomal RNA". It matches the Rfam family "Bacterial small subunit ribosomal RNA", at positions 30 to 523 of the family's 1533-position model. The record is from RNAcentral.